RNAcentral lists this ribosomal RNA (499 nucleotides) under uncultured bacterium. Its description in RNAcentral is "partial 16S ribosomal RNA". It matches the Rfam family "Bacterial small subunit ribosomal RNA", at positions 29 to 523 of the family's 1533-position model. The record is from RNAcentral.
AUUGAACGCUGGCGGCAUGCCUUACACAUGCAAGUCGAACGGUAACGCGGGGCAACCUGGCGACGAGUGGCGAACGGGUGAGUAAAGCAUAGGAACGUGCCCAGUAGUGGGGGACAGCCCGGCGAAAGCCGGAUUAAUACCGCACACGACCUAUGGGUGAAAGGGGGGGAUCGCAAGACCUCUCGCUAUGGGAGCGGCCGAUGUCAGAUUAGGUAGUUGGUGGGGUAAAGGAAUACCAAGCCGGCGAUCUGUAGCUUGUCUGAGAGUACGACCAGCCACACUGAGACUGGGACACGGCCCAGAUUCCUACGGGAGGCAGCAGUGGGGAAUUUUGAAAAAGGGGCGCAAGCCUGAUCCAGCCAUGCCGCGUGAGUGAAGAAGGCCUUCGGGUUGUAAAGCUCUGUCGUGCGGGACAAAAACACUAUGGGUUAACAGCCCAUGGAAUUGACGGUACCGCAAAAGGAAGCACCGGCUAACUUCGUGCCAGCCGCCGCCGUAA